CCACGCAGCAACUGCCACAUAGAAAAAGGAGGCGUUGCAGCUGCCAUGCAGCAACUGCCACGCAGAAGAAGGAGGGACUGCGACUGCCAUGCAGCAACUGCCACACAGAAAAAGGAGGGGUUGCAACUGCCACGCAGCAACUGCCACGCAGAAAAAGGAGGGGUUGAAAAGGGAGUAGCUUCUGAUAUUCAGUCAGUACGAAUCGGCCUUAGGGUCCCUGCCUCAAGACCCUAUUCUCCUGUCUCACUUUUAGCUAAGGGUUAUUACAAAAGAGUCAGAAAGUUAAGACAAAAUAUGAAAGUUUAUAAAGUAAAAAGAGUUACAGUGAGCUAAGUAUAACUUAUUGAAAACAUUUUUUUAAUUUAGUGUAGCCUAACUGUGUUUAUACAGUCUACAGUAGUAUACAGUAAUAUCCUAGACCUCCACAUUCCCUCACCACUCACUCACUCACUCACCGACUCACUCAGAGCAACAUCCAGUCCUGGAAGCUCCAUUCACAGUCAAGAAAUGAACAUUGCCCAUAUCACAGUAGCUCCCACCGGUACCUGCUCUAUUAUACCAGCCUCCUUCUGACCUAGAGGAAAUCAUACUCUGACUUAUAUGUUUCCAUCUGGGAUAAUUUUUUUUGUUUGCCUGAUAUGAAUGAAGCUGGAAACCAUCCUUCUCAGCAAACUAACAGAAAACCAAAAACUACAUAUUCUCACUUAUGAGUGGGAGUUGAACAAUGGAAAUACAUGGACACAAGGAGGGGAACAUCACACACCGGGGCCUGUCGGAGGGUCGGGGGCUGGGGGAGCGAUAACAUUAGGAGAAAUACCUAAUGUAGAUGACAGGUUGAUGGGUGCAGCAAACCACCAUGGCACACGUAUACCUGUGUAACAAACCUGCACCUUCUGCACAU
Molecule: long non-coding RNA, 901 nt
Organism: Pan troglodytes (chimpanzee)
Lineage: Eukaryota; Metazoa; Chordata; Mammalia; Primates; Hominidae
Exons: 3
Source: RefSeq, a predicted model, not a curated record